Molecule: ribosomal RNA, 404 nt
Filed under: uncultured bacterium
Lineage: Bacteria
Description: bacterial SSU rRNA
Rfam family: Bacterial small subunit ribosomal RNA
Source: RNAcentral
UGGGGAAUAUUGGACAAUGGGCGCAAGCCUGAUCCAGCCAUGCCGCGUGAGUGAUGAAGGCCUUAGGGUUGUAAAGCUCUUUCGGCGGGGACGAUAAUGACGGUACCCGCAGAAGAAGCCCCGGCUAACUUCGUGCCAGCAGCCGCGGUAAUACGAAGGGGGCUAGCGUUGUUCGGAAUCACUGGGCGUAAAGGGCGCGUAGGCGGCUUUGUCAGUCGGGGGUGAAAGCCUGUGGCUCAACCACAGAAUUGCCUUCGAUACUGCAAGGCUUGAGACCGGAAGAGGUCAGUGGAACUGCGAGUGUAGAGGUGAAAUUCGUAGAUAUUCGCAAGAACACCAGUGGCGAAGGCGGCUGACUGGUCCGGAUCUGACGCUGAGGCGCGAAAGCGUGGGGAGCAAACAGG